AAUAUUGGACAAUGGGGGAAACCCUGACGCAGCAACGCCGCGUGAGCGAAGAAGGCCUUCGGGUCGUAAAGCUCUGUCAUAUGGGCCGAAAAAAAUGACGGUACCAUAAGAGGAAGCCCCGGCUACCUACGUGCCAGCAGCCGCGGUAAUACGUAGGGGGCAAGCGUUGUCCGGAAUUAUUGGGCGUAAAGGGUGCGUAGGCGGCCUUUUAAGUCAGGUGUGAAAGCCCACGGCUUAACCGUGGGAUUGCAUUUGAAACUGGAGGGCUUGAGUAUCGGAGAGGGUAGUGGAAUUCCCAGUGUAGCGGUGGAAUGCGUAGAUAUUGGGAGGAACACCAGUGGCGAAGGCGACUACCUGGACGAAAACUGACGCUGAGGCACGAAAGCUAGGGGAGCAAAC
RNAcentral lists this ribosomal RNA (399 nucleotides) under uncultured bacterium. Its description in RNAcentral is "partial 16S ribosomal RNA". It matches the Rfam family "Bacterial small subunit ribosomal RNA", at positions 360 to 773 of the family's 1533-position model. The record is from RNAcentral.